Molecule: ribosomal RNA, 254 nt
Filed under: uncultured bacterium
Lineage: Bacteria
Description: partial 16S ribosomal RNA
Rfam family: Bacterial small subunit ribosomal RNA
Source: RNAcentral
UACGUAGGGUGCGAGCGUUGUCCGGAAUUAUUGGGCGUAAAGAGCUUGUAGGCGGUUUGUCGCGUCUGCUGUGAAAUUUCGGGGCUCAACCCCGAACUUGCAGUGGGUACGGGCAGGCUAGAGUGUGGUAGGGGAGACGUGGAAUUCCUGGUGUAGCGGUGAAAUGCGCAGAUAUCAGGAGGAACACCGAUGGCGAAGGCAGGUCUCUGGGCCACUACUGACGCUGAGAAGCGAAAGCAUGGGGAGCGAACAGG